GAGGGUAUAGCUCAAGUGGCAGAGCGCAUGCUUAGCAUGCUUGAGCCCCUGGGUUCAAUCCGCAGUACCUCCU
This 73-nucleotide transfer RNA is filed under the name Camelus ferus (Wild Bactrian camel). It matches the Rfam family "tRNA". From Rfam's summary of the family: Transfer RNA (tRNA) molecules are approximately 80 nucleotides in length. Their secondary structure includes four short double-helical elements and three loops (D, anti-codon, and T loops). The record is from Rfam by way of RNAcentral. Lineage: Eukaryota; Metazoa; Chordata; Mammalia; Artiodactyla; Camelidae.